GGUUAAGUUAGAAAGGGCGCACGGUGAAUGCCUUGGCACUAGGAGCCGAUGAAGGACGGGACUAACACCGAUAUGCUUCGGGGAGCUGUAAGUGAGCUUUGAUCCGGAGAUUUCCGAAUGGGGAAACCCACUGUUCGUAAUGGAACAGUAUCUUUAUCUGAAUACAUAGGAUAUUGAAGGCAGACCCGGGGAACUGAAACAUCUAAGUACCCGGAGGAAGAGAAAGCAAAUGCGAUUUCCUGAGUAGCGGCGAGCGAAACGGAAUUAGCCCAAACCAAGAGGCUUGCCUCUUGGGGUUGUAGGACACUCUAUACGGAGUUACAAAGGAACGAAGUAAAUGAAGCGACCUGGAAAGGUCCGUCGAAGAAGGUAACAACCCUGUAGUUGAAACUUCGUUCCCUCUUGAGUGGAUCCUGAGUACGGCGGAACACGUGAAAUUCCGUCGGAAGCUGGGAGGACCAUCUCCCAAGGCUAAAUACUACCUAGUGACCGAUAGUGAACCAGUACCGUGAGGGAAAGGUGAAAAGCACCCCGGAAGGGGAGUGAAAGAGAUCCUGAAACCGUGUGCCUACAAGUAGUCAGAGCCCGUUAACGGGUGAUGGCGUGCCUUUUGUAGAAUGAACCGGCGAGUUACGAUCCCAUGCAAGGUUAAGCUGAUAAGGCGGAGCCGUAGCGAAAGCGAGUCUGAAUAGGGCGUUUAGUAUGUGGUUGUAGACCCGAAACCAGGUGAUCUACCCAUGUCCAGGGUGAAGUUCAGGUAACACUGAAUGGAGGCCCGAACCCACGCACGUUGAAAAGUGCGGGGAUGAGGUGUGGGUAGCGGAGAAAUUCCAAUCGAACCUGGAGAUAGCUGGUUCUCUCCGAAAUAGCUUUAGGGCUAGCCUCAUGUUGUGAGAGUCUUGGAGGUAGAGCACUGAUUGGACUAGGGGCCCCCAACGGGUUACCGAAUUCAGUCAAACUCCGAAUGCCAAAGACUUAUCCAUGGGAGUCAGACUGCGAGUGAUAAGAUCCGUAGUCAAAAGGGAAACAGCCCAGACCACCAGCUAAGGUCCCCAAGUAUACGUUAAGUGGAAAAGGAUGUGGAGUUGCUUAGACAACCAGGAUGUUGGCUUAGAAGCAGCCACCAUUUAAAGAGUGCGUAAUAGCUCACUGGUCGAGUGACUCUGCGCCGAAAAUGUACCGGGGCUAAACGUAUCACCGAAGCUGUGGAUUGACAUCUUUGAUGUCAGUGGUAGGAGAGCGUUCUAAGUGCAGCGAAGUCAGACCGUAAGGACUGGUGGAGCGCUUAGAAGUGAGAAUGCCGGUAUGAGUAGCGAAAGACAAGUGAGAAUCUUGUCCACCGAAUGCCUAAGGUUUCCUGAGGAAGGCUCGUCCGCUCAGGGUUAGUCGGGACCUAAGCCGAGGCUGAAAAGCGUAGGCGAUGGCCAACAGGUUGAUAUUCCUGUACCACCUCCCCGCCGUUUGAGUAAUGGGGGGACGCAGUAGGAUAGGGUAAGCGCGCUGCUGGAUAUGCGCGUUCAAGCAGUUAGGCUGAUGAGUAGGCAAAUCCGCUCAUCAUAAAGGCUGAGCUGUGAUGACGAGGGAAUUAUAGUACCGAAGUUCCUGAUUCCACACUGCCAAGAAAAGCCUCUAGCGAGGCGGGAGGUGCCCGUACCGCAAACCGACACAGGUAGGCGAGGAGAGAAUCCUAAGGUGAUCGAGAGAACUCUCGUUAAGGAACUCGGCAAAAUGACCCCGUAACUUCGGGAGAAGGGGUGCUCUGGUAGGGUGUAUAGCCCGAGAGAGCCGCAGUGAAUAGGCCCAGGCGACUGUUUAGCAAAAACACAGGUCUCUGCGAAGCCGCAAGGCGAAGUAUAGGGGCUGACGCCUGCCCGGUGCUGGAAGGUUAAGAGGAGGGGUUAUCCUUUGGGAGAAGCUCUGAAUCGAAGCCCCAGUAAACGGCGGCCGUAACUAUAACGGUCCUAAGGUAGCGAAAUUCCUUGUCGGGUAAGUUCCGACCCGCACGAAAGGCGUAACGAUCUGGGCACUGUCUCAACGAGAGACUCGGUGAAAUUAUAGUACCUGUGAAGAUGCAGGUUACCCGCGACAGGACGGAAAGACCCCGUGGAGCUUUACUGUAGCCUGAUAUUGAAUUUUGGUACAGCUUGUACAGGAUAGGUAGGAGCCUGAGAAGCCGGAGCGCUAGCUUCGGUGGAGGCGUCGGUGGGAUACUACCCUGGCUGUAUUGAAAUUCUAACCCGCGGCCCUGAUCGGGCCGGGAGACAGUGUCAGGUGGGCAGUUUGACUGGGGCGGUCGCCUCCUAAAAUGUAACGGAGGCGCCCAAAGGUUCCCUCAGAAUGGUUGGAAAUCAUUCGUAGAGUGUAAAGGCACAAGGGAGCUUGACUGCGAGACCUACAAGUCGAGCAGGGACGAAAGUCGGGCUUAGUGAUCCGGUGGUUCCGCAUGGAAGGGCCAUCGCUCAACGGAUAAAAGCUACCCCGGGGAUAACAGGCUUAUCUCCCCCAAGAGUCCACAUCGACGGGGAGGUUUGGCACCUCGAUGUCGGCUCAUCGCAUCCUGGGGCUGUAGUCGGUCCCAAGGGUUGGGCUGUUCGCCCAUUAAAGCGGUACGCGAGCUGGGUUCAGAACGUCGUGAGACAGUUCGGUCCCUAUCCGUCGUGGGCGUAGGAAAUUUGAGAGGAGCUGUCCUUAGUACGAGAGGACCGGGAUGGACACACCGCUGGUGUACCAGUUGUCUUGCCAAAGGCAUCGCUGGGUAGCUAUGUGUGGACGGGAUAAGUGCUGAAAGCAUCUAAGCAUGAAGCCCCCCUCAAGAUGAGAUUUCCCAUAGCGCAAGCUAGUAAGAUCCCUGAAAGAUGAUCAGGUUGAUAGGUCAGAGGUGGAAGCGUGGCGACAUGUGUAGCUGACUGAUACUAAUCGAUCGAGGACUUAACCAA
Molecule: ribosomal RNA, 2936 nt
Filed under: Priestia megaterium
Lineage: Bacteria; Bacillati; Bacillota; Bacilli; Caryophanales; Bacillaceae
Also listed under: 11 other names
Description: 23S ribosomal RNA
Rfam family: Bacterial large subunit ribosomal RNA
Source: RNAcentral